GCCCUUCGGGGUGGAUUAGUGGCGAACGGGUGAGUAACACGUGGGCAAUCUGCCCUUCACUCUGGGACAAGCCCUGGAAACGGGGUCUAAUACCGGAUACCACUCCUGCCUGCAUGGGCGGGGGUUGAAAGCUCCGGCGGUGAAGGAUGAGCCCGCGGCCUAUCAGCUUGUUGGUGGGGUAAUGGCCCACCAAGGCGACGACGGGUAGCCGGCCUGAGAGGGCGACCGGCCACACUGGGACUGAGACACGGCCCAGACUCCUACGGGAGGCAGCAGUGGGGAAUAUUGCACAAUGGGCGAAAGCCUGAUGCAGCGACGCCGCGUGAGGGAUGACGGCCUUCGGGUUGUAAACCUCUUUCAGCAGGGAAGAAGCGAAAGUGACGGUACCUGCAGAAGAAGCGCCGGCUAACUACGUGCCAGCAGCCGCGGUAAUACGUAGGGCGCAAGCGUUGUCCGGAAUUAUUGGGCGUAAAGAGCUCGUAGGCGGCUUGUCACGUCGGAUGUGAAAGCCCGAGGCUUAACCUCGGGUCUGCAUUCGAUACGGGCUAGCUAGAGUGUGGUAG
RNAcentral lists this ribosomal RNA (563 nucleotides) under Streptomyces xanthophaeus. Its description in RNAcentral is "bacterial SSU rRNA". It matches the Rfam family "Bacterial small subunit ribosomal RNA", at positions 75 to 654 of the family's 1533-position model. Lineage: Bacteria; Bacillati; Actinomycetota; Actinomycetes; Kitasatosporales; Streptomycetaceae. The record is from RNAcentral.